Molecule: ribosomal RNA, 253 nt
Filed under: uncultured bacterium
Lineage: Bacteria
Description: partial 16S ribosomal RNA
Rfam family: Bacterial small subunit ribosomal RNA
Source: RNAcentral
UACAGAGGGGGCAAGCGUUAUUCGGAAUUAUUGGGCGUAAAGGGCGCGUAGGCGGCCUUGCAAGUGACGGGUGAAAUCCCUCGGCUUAACCGAGGAACUGCCUGUCAAACUGCGAGGCUUGAGUCCGGGAGAGGUGAGUGGAAUUCCCAGUGUAGCGGUGAAAUGCGUAGAUAUUGGGAGGAACACCAGUGGCGAAGGCGGCUCACUGGACCGGUACUGACGCUGAUGCGCGAAAGCGUGGGGAGCAAACAGG